This 354-nucleotide unclassified non-coding RNA is filed under the name soil metagenome. Its description in RNAcentral is "partial contains 5.8S ribosomal RNA, internal transcribed spacer 2, and large subunit ribosomal RNA". The stretch from base 3 to 119 matches the Rfam family "5.8S ribosomal RNA", at positions 38 to 154 of the family's 154-position model. The record is from RNAcentral.
GAGAAGAACGUAGCGAAAUGCGAUAAGUAGUGUGAAUUGCAGAAUUCAGUGAAUCAUCGAAUCUUUGAACGCACAUUGCGCCUUCUAGUAUUCUGGGAGGCAUGCCUGUUUGAGCGUCAUUAAACCUCUCUCAAGUAUGAUUACUUGGAUGUGAAGGAAGAGUACCUUAAACUUAAGGAGUGUUCUCCUUUGAAAUUGAUUAGCAGAUGGUAAUGUUAUUAAAUCCCUGAUGUUGUAAGAAAUAACAGUGGCUUUGUAGACUAUUAUCUAGCUUUAAAUUAUAAUUUUUAUUAUGGUUGACCUCAAAUCAGGUAAGGAUACCCGCUGAACUUAAGCAUAUCAAUAAGCGGAGGA